This 440-nucleotide ribosomal RNA is filed under the name uncultured bacterium. RNAcentral's name for it is "partial 16S ribosomal RNA". It matches the Rfam family "Bacterial small subunit ribosomal RNA", at positions 338 to 795 of the family's 1533-position model. The record is from RNAcentral.
CCUACGGGUGGCAGCAGUGGGGAAUAUUGCACAAUGGGCGCAACCCUGAUGCAGCGACGCCGCGUGAGUGAAGAAGUAUUUCGGUACGUAAAGCUCUAUCAGCAGGGAAGAAAAUGACGGUACCUGACUAAUAACCCCCGGCUAAUUACGUGCCAGCAGCCGCGGUAAUACGUCGGGGGCAAGCGUUAUCCGGAUUUACUGGGUGUAAAGUGAGCGUAGGCGGCUGUGCAAGUCUGAAGUGAAAUCCCAUGGCUUAACCAUGGAAGUGCUUUGGAAACUGUGCAGCUGGAGUGCAGGAGAGGUAAGCGGAAUUCCUAGUGUAGCGGUGAAAUGCGUAGAUAUAAGGAGGAACACCAGUGGCGAAGGCGGCUUGCUGGACUGUAACUGACGUUGAGGCUCGAAAGCGUGGGGAGCAAACAGGAUUAGAUACCCUUGUAGUC